RNAcentral lists this transfer-messenger RNA (320 nucleotides) under Rhodospirillales bacterium. It matches the Rfam family "Alphaproteobacteria transfer-messenger RNA". From Rfam's summary of the family: Bacterial tmRNA, also known as 10Sa RNA or SsrA, is named for its dual tRNA and mRNA-like properties. Its role is to liberate the mRNA from a stalled ribosome. Lineage: Bacteria; Pseudomonadati; Pseudomonadota; Alphaproteobacteria; Rhodospirillales. The record is from RNAcentral.
CCGCUUUCAAUCCCGGGGCGGGAUGCCUAUAUUCCGGAUGCCGGCUUGCCGGCUAUGGCGAUAAACGGUGCGUGGAAUAAACGUUGUGGACCCGGGGGCAGUGCCCGGCGCCUCCACCAGUUUUCCACCGGGGGUUUCCCCGGCUGGAUCCAGGGGGGCGAAACAGGCUCGACACGCGCGGUAAAGACCCAUCUUUCGCUCGGCAUGGUUCCGCCGUUAUCGGGCCGUAUGACAAGUGCCAACGACAAUUCGGCGCUCGCUGUCGCUGCAUAAGCGAUAAGCGCGGUUCGGGGGGCACCGGGCAACAGAAGCCCCCCACU